This 252-nucleotide ribosomal RNA is filed under the name uncultured bacterium. Its description in RNAcentral is "partial 16S ribosomal RNA". It matches the Rfam family "Archaeal small subunit ribosomal RNA", at positions 474 to 727 of the family's 1478-position model. The record is from RNAcentral.
UACCCGCGCCCCGAGUGGUGAGCGCGUUUAUUGGGUUUAGAGCGUCCGUAGCCGGUCCUGCAACUCCUCAGCGAAAUCCUUAAUUGAAUUAAGGGCUGCCUGGGGAAACUACAGGACUUGGAACCGGGAGAGGUGGGAGGUACUCGUGGGGUAGGGGUAAAAUCCUAUAAUCCGACGAGGACCACCUGUGGCGAAAGCGUCCCACUUGAACGGCUUCGACGGUGAGGGACGAAAGCCUGGGGAGCAAAUGGG